CCAAAUUUGUAGCACAAAACCGAAAAAUUGUACCAAAUAAGCCAAAAUCCAAAUUAUCAAGAGAAAAAAAAUACAUAAUCCAUAUCAAAGAUCCAUAAAUUAAUGCUUACCCAGUUACCAGAAGUGAUCGAAAAUAAUAAAUUCAAUAUUGACUGACAUAGAUAUAUAGAAAUUACAUACAUGCGAGAAGCUGAAAUCAUAAAGAGGGGGAAAAUGAUCGAUCGAAAACCUUAGGGAUAUGAGGCGAUGAUUGUGACGCUGAUAGUGUUGAAGAGGGAGAAGACCGGUAGAAUUUGG
Molecule: long non-coding RNA, 297 nt
Filed under: Panax ginseng (ginseng)
Lineage: Eukaryota; Viridiplantae; Streptophyta; Magnoliopsida; Apiales; Araliaceae
Description: long non-coding RNA (PGIN_LNC002440)
Source: RNAcentral